This 468-nucleotide ribosomal RNA is filed under the name uncultured bacterium. RNAcentral's name for it is "partial 16S ribosomal RNA". It matches the Rfam family "Bacterial small subunit ribosomal RNA", at positions 28 to 507 of the family's 1533-position model. The record is from RNAcentral.
GACGAACGCUGGCGGCGUGCUUAACACAUGCAAGUCGAACGGAAAGGCCCUGCUUUUGUGGGGUGCUCGUGUGGCGCACGGGUGUGUGACACGUGUGUAACCUGCCCUUGUCUUUGGGAUAAAUUCAGGAAAAUGGGGAUCAUAUCGGAUAGGAGCUACUGCUGCAUGGUGGGGGUUGGAAAGUUUCGGUGGUGGUGGAUGGACUCGCGGCUUAUCAGCUUGUUGGUGGGGUAGUUGCUUUCCAAGGCUUUGACGGGUAGCCGGCCUGAGAGGGUGACCGGCCACAAUGGGACUGAGGUACGGCCCAGACUCCAACGGGACGCAGCAGUCGGGAAUAUUGCACAAUGGGCGGAAGCCUGAGGCAGCAACGCCGCGAGCGGGAAGACGGCCUACGGGGUGUAAACCACUGUCGCCUGUGACGAAGCGUGAGUGACGGUAAUGAGUGAAGAAGCACCGGCUAACUACGUG